This is a long non-coding RNA of Solanum lycopersicum (tomato), 1637 nucleotides long. RefSeq lists it as uncharacterized. NCBI's taxonomy places the organism in Eukaryota, Viridiplantae, Streptophyta, Magnoliopsida, Solanales, Solanaceae. The record is from RefSeq and is a predicted model, not a curated record.
UAACCCAUAAGUACAAAAGUGUUGGGCCCUUUUUGAAUUCCUUCAGCCUGAUUCCUUUUUAUUUUCUCGAGAAAACCCACUCCCCAUAUCCGACCCAAACCCCUUUUAUAACAAAAAAAAUCCAUUCCAGUAAGGAAUAACAAUAACAAAUGCAUGCCAACAUCGUCUGAUAUUCUUCUUCUUCCAAAACAGUGAUGAAACCUAGAAAAAAUUGAAGCCCAGUCCAGCAGAAACCCCAAAUCCCGAUCCAUCCAAAAUGUGUCGACCCCAAUCCUCCAACUUCCGUGAGUAGACGGGAGUUACACGAUGCUAUACUGAGAAUAAAUUUUAACACGUCUUAUUCUUUCUAGUACAGUUUCUUGGACGGACGUCUGCAAUUCUAGCGGCCAUGAAGCACGCGUUUUCGUCUAUUGUGGCUAAAGAUUCAGCCACAUUACUCACCCAGUACAAUGGGUCGAUCUCGUCCUUCUAGCUUGCUUGAAAUAUAUUCGAAAUCAUUUGGAAUCGGAAGAAUAUUAGAUUUUCGGAUAAGAUUUUGGAUUUUGAAUGGGUCUGGGGAAAGUCCAUAUUUUAUCCAUCUUUUUCCCAAAACCAAAGACCUAAUUUGUCGAUAUAUAAGGCCUCUUCCUGUUCUUGAAAGGGAAUUUUUUUUGGAGAUGGAGAUUUGUAAAAACAUUGAGUGAGAGUUUCGAUACUAAUCUUCUUCUUUCUUUUCUGGGAUUUUUACUGGAACAAAGGUUUGUCUUUGGUUAAAAAGAAACAGUGGAAAAACACAUACCGAAUAUAAAGAACAAAAGAAGAAGCAAGUUAGGAAAUUUUUUCAGUAAGGCUCAAUGAAUCAAAACAAAAAUAGUAGCUAUAUAUAAACAUUUAGCAAGUAGGCUUUUUGAAGACAUAUAAAUUGGGAACGAAACAUCAAAUCCUGUUUUGAUUCUUCUCCGUUCAUAAAUGCUCUCGGAGUUGCACUUCGGUAGUGGUGAAGUCGUGGUCUACUCUACUUGUCUCAUCCCUGUUUCGCUGCCACAAAGAAGCAUGUAAAAUUUGCUUUAGUUCUCCACGAACUCUCCCUUUUCACAUUUCGAGAGACCCAUCAAGGCUCAAAAUUCAUUAUCGAGUUAACAAGCCAUGAAAUCGACGAACAAGCCCUAAAUUGAAGAAUAUGGAGUCAAUUAAAGAGUUGAAGAAAAUUGGGUCAUUCGUACCCAAAUUUUAUUUUUCCCUUAAAAUUUGUAUUUUGUUGUUGUUGGGCCUAAGCGCAUUUAUUUAUUUACUUAAUGUAUUCUUAGAAUUUAGGACAGGUACAAGUGAAGUGGGUCAAAGACCCAAAAUAAAUGGGUGAAAAAAUUCGAAAACAGGUGGGUCCAAAAUCUGAUCCAGGCGGACAGAACCCGGGUUCGGACCUAAAAUCUCUCUCUUUCUCUCUCUCUCGUCUUAUUACUGAUCUAUUUUUUUGGUCGUUAGUUUAAAGUUAUAAAACUCCAAAUACCCGUAGAAUGUCAUAACGUUUUAGUAAAUUAAAAUUAAACUAAGUUUGAAAAGAUAUUUUUCAAUUUAUAAGUGUCGCUUAGAUAAACAACGAAGAAACACACUUUCAAACAAUUUCCAAUAAAUUUUAUAAGUUAGUUAUUUUAGCCAAA